UACGGAGGAUGCAAGCGUUAUCCGGAUUUAUUGGGUUUAAAGGGUGCGUAGGCGGAUAUGUAAGUCAGCGGUGAAACUCACAGGCUCAACCUGUGCCGUGCCGUUGAAACUGUGUAUCUGGAAUGCGGAUGCUGUGGGAGGAAUGUGUAGUGUAGCGGUGGAAUGCAUAGAUAUUACACAGAACACCGAUUGCGAAGGCAUCUCACAAAGCCGUUAUUGACGCUGAGGCACGAAAGUAGUGGGGAGUCAAA
RNAcentral lists this ribosomal RNA (251 nucleotides) under uncultured prokaryote. RNAcentral describes it as "partial 16S ribosomal RNA". It matches the Rfam family "Bacterial small subunit ribosomal RNA", at positions 524 to 773 of the family's 1533-position model. The record is from RNAcentral.